RNAcentral lists this ribosomal RNA (486 nucleotides) under uncultured bacterium. RNAcentral describes it as "bacterial SSU rRNA". It matches the Rfam family "Bacterial small subunit ribosomal RNA", at positions 28 to 507 of the family's 1533-position model. The record is from RNAcentral.
GAUGAACGCUAGCGGGAGGCUUAACACAUGCAAGUCGAGGGGCAGCACUAUGUAGCAAUACGUUGGUGGCGACCGGCGCACGGGUGAGUAACGCGUAUGCAACCUACCCUGUACAGGGGGAUAACCCGGAGAAAUUCGGACUAAUACCGCAUAAAGAUAUAACUGGGCAUCCGGAUAUAUUUAAAGCUUCGGUGGUACGGGAUGGGCAUGCGUAACAUUAGCUAGUUGGGAGGGUAACGGCCUACCAAGGCAACGAUGUUUAGGGGUCCUGAGAGGGUGAUCCCCCACACUGGUACUGAGACACGGACCAGACUCCUACGGGAGGCAGCAGUGAGGAAUAUUGGUCAAUGGGCGGAAGCCUGAACCAGCCAUCCCGCGUGCAGGAAGAAGGCGCUAUGCGUUGUAAACUGCUUUUCCAGGGGGCGAACGUUUCGUACGUGUACGGGAGUGACGGUACCUUGGGAAUAAGCAUCGGCUAACUCCGUG